GCAUCUCGAGAAUCAGCAGAACAGCCAACUGGGGCAUUAUCAAAAAAAAAAAAGAAAAAAAAAGAAAAAAAAGAAAAAAGAAAGAGGAGGGUGCAAAAUCAAAAAAAAAAAGAAAUCAAUCAAAACCAAAAGAAAUCAAAAGAAAGCAAAAUCAAAAGAAAACAAAAGAAAAUAGCACCCUCAAAGUCCCAAGUUGACUGAUGC
RNAcentral lists this long non-coding RNA (204 nucleotides) under Lathyrus oleraceus (garden pea). Its description in RNAcentral is "Pisum sativum (pea) long non-coding RNA (PSAT_LNC011710)". The record is from RNAcentral. Lineage: Eukaryota; Viridiplantae; Streptophyta; Magnoliopsida; Fabales; Fabaceae.